This 335-nucleotide unclassified non-coding RNA is filed under the name soil metagenome. Its description in RNAcentral is "partial contains 5.8S ribosomal RNA, internal transcribed spacer 2, and large subunit ribosomal RNA". The stretch from base 1 to 120 matches the Rfam family "5.8S ribosomal RNA", at positions 35 to 154 of the family's 154-position model. The record is from RNAcentral.
GAUGAAGAACGCAGCGAAAUGCGAAAAGUAGUGUGAAUUGCAGAAUUCAGUGAAUCAUCGAAUCUUUGAACGCACAUUGCGCCCGCCAGUAUUCUGGCGGGCAUGCCUGUUCGAGCGUCAUUUCAACCAUCAAGCCCCCGGCUUGUGUUGGGGACCUGCGGCUGCCGCAGGCCCUGAAAACCAGUGGCGGGCUCGCUAGUCACUCCGAGCGUAGUAAUACAUCUCGCUCAGGGCGUGCUGCGGGUUCCGGCCGUUAAAAAGCCUUAUUUACCCAAGGUUGACCUCGGAUCAGGUAGGAAGACCCGCUGAACUUAAGCAUAUCAAUAAGCGGAGGA